AGAAUCAACGCUGGCGGCGUGCCUAACACAUGCAAGUCGAACGAGAAAGUGGAGCAAUCCAUGAGUAAAGUGGCGACCGGGUGAGUAACACGUGACUAACCUACCUUCGAGUGGGGAAUAACCUCGGGAAACCGGGGCUAAUACCGCAUAAUGUCUUCGGACCAAAGGAGCAAUUCGCUUGAAGAGGGGGUCGCGGCCGAUUAGCUAGUUGGCGGGUAACGCCCACAAGGCGAUGAUCGGUAGCCGGCCUGAGAGGGCGCACGGCCACACUGGAACUGAAACACGGUCCAGACUCCUACGGGAGGCAGCAGUGGGGAAUUUUGCGCAAUGGGGGAAACCCUGACGCAGCAACGCCGCGUGGAGGAUGAAGCCCCUUGGGGUGUAAACUCCUUUCGAUCGGGACGAUUAUGACGGUACCGGAUGAAGAAGCACCGGCUAACUCUGCGCCAGCAGCCGC
Molecule: ribosomal RNA, 457 nt
Filed under: uncultured bacterium
Lineage: Bacteria
Description: SSU rRNA
Rfam family: Bacterial small subunit ribosomal RNA
Source: RNAcentral